GACGAACGCUGGCGGCGUGCCUAAUACAUGCAAGUCGAGCGGAACUGGGGGAGCUUGCUCCUUCCAGUUUAGCGGCGGACGGGUGAGUGACACGUGGGCAACCUGCCCUGCAGAUCGGGAUAACUCCGGGAAACCGGUGCUAAUACCGAAUAGUUUGGCGCCUCUCCUGAGGCGCUACGGAAAGACGGUUUCGGCUGUCACUGCAGGAUGGGCCCGCGGCGCAUUAGCUAGUUGGGGGGGUAACGGCCCACCAAGGCGACGAUGCGUAGCCGACCUGAGAGGGUGACCGGCCACACUGGGACUGAGACACGGCCCAGACUCCUACGGGAGGCAGCAGUAGGGAAUCUUCCGCAAUGGACGCAAGUCCGACGGAGCAACGCCGCGUGAGUGACGAAGGUUUUCGGAUCGUAAAACUCUGUUGUGAGGGAAGAACACGUACCAACUAACUAUUGGUACCUUGACGGUACCUCACCAGAAAGCCACGGCUAACUACGUGCCAGCAGCCGCAGUAA
Molecule: ribosomal RNA, 512 nt
Filed under: uncultured bacterium
Lineage: Bacteria
Description: partial 16S ribosomal RNA
Rfam family: Bacterial small subunit ribosomal RNA
Source: RNAcentral